Non-coding RNA from Pimephales promelas (fathead minnow), 951 nucleotides. The record is from RefSeq and is a predicted model, not a curated record. NCBI's taxonomy places the organism in Eukaryota, Metazoa, Chordata, Actinopteri, Cypriniformes, Leuciscidae.
UCCACCUGGAUGAUGCGACGGCACCUAUAUUGCGCCAGAACGCUCACCACACACCAGCUUACUGGUGGAGAGGAGAUCAUGCUGGUGUCCUGCUGAACCCCCUGUCUAAGACAAUAUCCACAGCUAUGAACUCUACUAGUGUGUUUUGAAAUACGUUGGCCAAUGAUACAGACACCAUACUAUCCAACUCAAAGAUGAGAUAUAAUCGUUUGACCCUGUGAUUCUUCAGGACAAGAUCUUGAUGCCAUCCACACUCAGUACUUGGCGGAAGGAGCUAUAAGAAAGUACCUUGAAUGGGUUACAAGAAAGACAACAGAAGGGAGCCUCCAGGAAGUGGUUUUGCGGUGUUUGAAGGGAGCUGCUGACAGAGAAGGGGGCAGGAAACAACGACGGGAAAACUGAAGGGGUUCAAAUGCAUUUAGUUUUUUAAAAGUUAAAAUUAAAAUGUUUAAUAUAUAUAUUAGGGUGUGUAACGCUGCACGUAUUAGUAUUAUUGAACCAUUCGGUACGAGGCUUUCGGUAAGCAUUUUUAAGCCAAACGGUUCGUUGGAACAUUUUUCCUGCCAACCAAAAUUUUGCUAUUUGAAAUGUAGGCAAGUCGUGCAUGGCAAGCGCGCUCAUAAUGUAAGAGACGCUGGCAUGACCACCACAACAUUGCCCAACAUCAAAUGGCAAAUGUAAUGUAAGCGGAAUGAAACGGUGGUGCGUUUCCUGAUAGCAUUGGUAGCCAACUAUGAUCACAAGUUCCGUCGUUAUCAGCAUAGUUCAACGAGUCUGUGUUUCCCGAAACCAUCGUUCCAAUGAAUAUUCCCAAACAGUAUCGCAGAGUUGUUUGGUUGGAAUGACAGCUCUCGUGCUGUGGUUAGAGCGAGGCAUAAUUUCUAGAUUGCAUGAGAUGUGGACGUAAUAAAUCCUUAUCUUGAGCAAAAUAAGCAAGCUGACAUUCAGUAC